Long non-coding RNA from Xenia sp. Carnegie-2017, 290 nucleotides. RefSeq lists it as uncharacterized. NCBI's taxonomy places the organism in Eukaryota, Metazoa, Cnidaria, Anthozoa, Malacalcyonacea, Xeniidae. The record is from RefSeq and is a predicted model, not a curated record. The transcript has 3 exons.
CGUCAAGGCAUUGAAUUAGGAGCGACACCAGUUCAAGAACGCAGUAUUCGUAUCAAAGGUCUGGAAUGUCUCGUUUCUAUUCUUAAAUGUAUGGUAGAAUGGAGCAGGGAUCUUUACUUUAAACCUGAUUCUCAGGUGGACGAUAAUUUUGAUCUGGUUGAUGAUGCACCAACAAUUUCUUGAAAAGGAAGCACCGAGGAGAAUGAAAACGGAGGGGAACCCGGUGAUUUACAAUCUCAAAAAACGGCGGGUAGUCAGUCGUCUCUUAAUAGUACAAAAGCCAUCAAUAA